CCACAAUCCAACAUUCUCCCCUCCUUUGUUAUCACAGCUCUCGUCUUCCUCCACUUUCCUCACUCCACCGUCCCAACCAUCAUCUACCUCCGGCAUCGCCCCCAACACCACCAACAGCAAACCCCACAACCUCUAAACUUCGUAUUUAACACCCUACGCCCCUCUCUACCAUCCAACCACCUCACUAUUGCUUCCAGAAACAAAAUAUAAAAGGGGCUCUCUAUUAGGAUAAUGAGAAAAGAGAAAAGGGGGUGCUCUAUAAUGGCCAAAGGCACCACCAAUGACUAAGCCGCCCUCUUAGCAACCCCACAUCAAUUUUCCAAAUUAAAAGAAGAAUUAGAAGAAAAAGUGAAUUUAAAUUGAAGUGUGGAAUGUCGAU
Molecule: long non-coding RNA, 379 nt
Organism: Ipomoea nil (Japanese morning glory)
Lineage: Eukaryota; Viridiplantae; Streptophyta; Magnoliopsida; Solanales; Convolvulaceae
Exons: 2
Source: RefSeq, a predicted model, not a curated record